AUUUUCUUUAAAAAUAGCAAGGUUGGGUUGUUAAUAUUGGGUUAUUGAUGUUGGGUUAUUGAGAUAUGACCCAGUGGGUGGGUUACUUCUCCCGUUAAAUCCAGAUGAUCAAAGUGAUCCGGCAAACUCGUUAAUGAGGAUUGUUACAGCUGUGUAUCAAGUCUAGCCGGUGUUGAGUGGAAUUAGCGACUUUUAGCUGGACAAAUGGGCAAGGCGUUGUGGCUGAUCAAAAGCGAUGAUUCCUUGAGGCUGCAUGGCCCUGAGAGUACUUAUCCCACCACCAGUGUACCGAAUGCAGGCAGCUACAAAUUGAAAUGCUGGAACCAAUAUGGCUGAAUAUCUCUGCCAGGCGACCAAAAGAACAAGAGACCCCAUCCCUUUGUUCUGACUCUCGGGGACAAUCGCCUCUACUCCCUGACAUUCAACAUUGUGAAUGGGCAGGAUCUGGAGCAGAAAACAUUAUGUUUCGUUGUUGUUGUUUUACAUGAAUUCAUCUUGAAAAUUGAUACCUGGGAGUAGAUGGUAAAGUUUUUACUUUUCUUCAGCCCCGUUCCCCAGCUCUAAUUGGUAGGUCUGCUGUGAUUGUACAAUAAUGGAUUCUGCUUCUAAAGUGUUGGUUUAUUUGUGUGUUCCUUAUUUUUUGUUUAUCUUUUGCAUGACUUCAUUUUGUAGCUGAAAUUAAUAUCUGAA
This 690-nucleotide long non-coding RNA is filed under the name Salmo trutta (river trout). RNAcentral describes it as "lncRNA (ENSSTUG00000031641.1)". Lineage: Eukaryota; Metazoa; Chordata; Actinopteri; Salmoniformes; Salmonidae. The record is from RNAcentral.